Catharus ustulatus (Swainson's thrush) is the source of this 86-nucleotide small nucleolar RNA. Lineage: Eukaryota; Metazoa; Chordata; Aves; Passeriformes; Turdidae. The record is from Ensembl.
AAGGCUGCUGUGAUGACUGCAUAGUUCAGCAGAUGACCCGUGGUGAUCAAAACCAGUGUCUUUCGCCUCCUAUCUGAUGCAGCCUC